Molecule: long non-coding RNA, 138 nt
Organism: Amblyraja radiata (thorny skate)
Lineage: Eukaryota; Metazoa; Chordata; Chondrichthyes; Rajiformes; Rajidae
Exons: 3
Source: RefSeq, a predicted model, not a curated record
GCACAGUGGAGGGGGACUCUGAGUAAGAUGGCCAAAAAUCACAGCCGUAAGUGGCAGCAUUUUUUCUAAAAUCAAUAUACAGAACAACAGGAAUUGGUUAAGAUCAGACUUUUCGUAAUAUACUUAUUCCCCCUCAUG